CCUACGGGGGGCAGCAGUGGGGAAUAUUGCACAAUGGGGGAAACCCUGAUGCAGCCAUGCCGCGUGUGUGAAGAAGGCCUUCGGGUUGUAAAGCACUUUCAGUUGUGAGGAAAAGUUAGUAGUUAAUACCUGCUAGCCGUGACGUUAACAACAGAAGAAGCACCGGCUAACUCCGUGCCAGCAGCCGCGGUAAUACGGAGGGUGCGAGCGUUAAUCGGAAUUACUGGGCGUAAAGCGCACGCAGGCGGUUUGUUAAGCUAGAUGUGAAAGCCCCGGGCUCAACCUGGGAUGGUCAUUUAGAACUGGCAGACUAGAGUCUUGGAGAGGGGAGUGGAAUUCCAGGUGUAGCGGUGAAAUGCGUAGAUAUCUGGAGGAACAUCAGUGGCGAAGGCGACUCCCUGGCCAAAGACUGACGCUCAUGUGCGAAAGUGUGGGUAGCGAACAGGAUUAGAUACCCGAGUAGUC
Molecule: ribosomal RNA, 465 nt
Filed under: uncultured bacterium
Lineage: Bacteria
Description: bacterial SSU rRNA
Rfam family: Bacterial small subunit ribosomal RNA
Source: RNAcentral